Molecule: ribosomal RNA, 490 nt
Filed under: uncultured bacterium
Lineage: Bacteria
Description: partial 16S ribosomal RNA
Rfam family: Bacterial small subunit ribosomal RNA
Source: RNAcentral
AUUGAACGCUGGCGGCAGGCCUAACACAUGCAAGUCGAACGGUAACAGGAAACAGCUUGCUGUUUCGCCGACGAGUGGCGGACGGGUGAGUAAUGUCUGGGAAACUGCCUGAUGGAGGGGGAUAACUACUGGAAACGGUAGCUAAUACCGCAUAACGUCGCAAGACCAAAGAGGGGGACCUUCGGGCCUCUUGCCAUCGGAUGUGCCCAGAUGGGAUUAGCUAGUAGGUGGGGUAACGGCUCACCUAGGCGACGAUCCCUAGCUGGUCUGAGAGGAUGACCAGCCACACUGGAACUGAGACACGGUCCAGACUCCUACGGGAGGCAGCAGUGGGGAAUAUUGCACAAUGGGCGCAAGCCUGAUGCAGCCAUGCCGCGUGUAUGAAGAAGGCCUUCGGGUUGUAAAGUACUUUCAGCGGGGAGGAAGGGAGUAAAGUUAAUACCUUUGCUCAUUGACGUUACCCGCAGAAGAAGCACCGGCUAACUCCGUG